RNAcentral lists this ribosomal RNA (918 nucleotides) under uncultured Methanomicrobiales archaeon. RNAcentral describes it as "bacterial SSU rRNA". It matches the Rfam family "Archaeal small subunit ribosomal RNA", at positions 83 to 999 of the family's 1478-position model. The record is from RNAcentral. Lineage: Archaea; Methanobacteriati; Methanobacteriota; Methanomicrobia; Methanomicrobiales.
ACGGCUCAUGUAACACGUGGAUAACCUACCCUCAGGAGGGGGAUAACCCCGGGAAACUGGGGAUAAUACCCCAUAGAUCAGGGACGCUGGAAUGCCCCCUGAUCCAAAGGUCCGCCGCCUGAGGAUGGGUCUGCGGCCGAUUAGGUUGUUGUUGGGGUAACGGCCCAACAAGCCGUUGAUCGGUACGGGUUGUGAGAGCAAGAGCCCGGAGAUGGAUUCUGAGACACGAAUCCAGGCCCUACGGGGCGCAGCAGGCGCGAAAACUUUACAAUGCGAGAAAUCGUGAUAAGGGAACCCCGAGUGCCCGUAAAUUCGGGCUGUCCAUCAGUGUAAAUAACUGGUGAAGAAAGGGCCGGGCAAGACCGGUGCCAGCCGCCGCGGUAAUACCGGCGGCUCGAGUGGUGGCCACUAUUACUGGGCUUAAAGCGUCCGUAGCUGGACUGUUAAGUCUCUUGGGAAAUCCACCGGCUCAACCGAUGGGCGUUCAGGAGAAACUGGCAAUCUAGGGACCGGGAGAGGUGAGAGGUACUCCAGGGGUAGGAGUGAAAUCCUGUAAUCCUUGGGGGACCACCUGUGGCGAAGGCGUCUCACUAGAACGGCUCCGACAGUGAGGGACGAAAGCUGGGGGAGCAAACCGGAUUAGAUACCCGGGUAGUCCCAGCUGUAAACGAUGCGCGUUAGGUGUAUCGGUGACCACGAGUCAUCGAGGUGCCGAAGGGAAACCGUGAAACGUGCCGCCUGGGAAGUACGGUCGCAAGGCUGAAACUUAAAGGAAAUUGGCGGGGGAGCACCACAACGGGUGGGAGCCCUGCGGUUUAAAUUGGACUCAACGCCGGGGCAGCUCACCGGAUAAAGACAGCUGGGAUGAUAGCCCGGGCUGAAGACUCUGCUUGACUAGCUGAAAGGAGGUGCAUGGCC